RNAcentral lists this unclassified non-coding RNA (315 nucleotides) under plant metagenome. RNAcentral describes it as "partial contains 5.8S ribosomal RNA, internal transcribed spacer 2, and large subunit ribosomal RNA". The stretch from base 1 to 105 matches the Rfam family "5.8S ribosomal RNA", at positions 50 to 154 of the family's 154-position model. The record is from RNAcentral.
GAACUGCGAUAAGUAAUGUGAAUUGCAGAAUUCAGUGAAUCAUCGAGUCUUUGAACGCACAUUGCGCCCCCUGGCAUUCCGGGGGGCAUGCCUGUCCGAGCAUCAUUGCUGCCCUUCAAGCCCGGCUUGUGUGUUGGGUCGUCGUCCCCUCCGGGGGACGGGCCCGAAAGGCAGCGGCGGCACCGCGUCCGGUCCUCGAGCGUAUGGGGCUUUGUCACCCGCUCGAUAAGGACCGGCCGGGCGCCAGCCGGCGUCUCCAACCUUUUUUUCUCAGGUUGACCUCGGAUCAGGUAGGGAUACCCGCUGAACUUAAGC